AGAGUUUGAUCCUGGCUCAGAUUGAACGCUGGCGGCAGGCCUAACACAUGCAAGUCGAGCGGAUGAAGAGAGCUUGCUCUCUGAUUCAGCGGCGGACGGGUGAGUAAUGCCUAGGAAUCUGCCUGAUAGUGGGGGGCAACGUUUCGAAAGGAACGCUAAUACCGCAUACGUCCUACGGGAGAAAGCAGGGGACCUUCGGGCCUUGCGCUAUCAGAUGAGCCUAGGUCGGAUUAGCUAGUUGGUGAGGUAACGGCUCACCAAGGCGACGAUCCGUAACUGGUCUGAGAGGAUGAUCAGUCACACUGGAACUGAGACACGGUCCAGACUCCUACGGGAGGCAGCAGUGGGGAAUAUUGGACAAUGGGCGAAAGCCUGAUCCAGCCAUGCCGCGUGUGUGAAGAAGGUCUUCGGAUUGUAAAGCACUUUAAGUUGGGAGGAAGGGCAUUAACCUAAUACGUUAGUGUUUUGACGUUACCGACAGAAUAAGCACCGGCUAACUUCGUGCCAGCAGCCGCGGUAAUACGAAGGGUGCAAGCGUUAAUCGGAAUUACUGGGCGUAAAGCGCGCGUAGGUGGUUUGUUAAGUUGAAUGUGAAAGCCCCGGGCUCAACCUGGGAACUGCAUCCAAAACUGGCAAGCUAGAGUAUGGCAGAGGGUGGUGGAAUUUCCUGUGUAGCGGUGAAAUGCGUAGAUAUAGGAAGGAACACCAGUGGCGAAAGCGACCACCUGGGCUAAUACUGACACUGAGGUGCGAAAGCGUGGGGGAGCAAACAGGAUUAGAUACCCUGGUAGUCCACGCCGUAAACGAUGUCGACUAGCCGUUGGGAUCCUUGAGAUCAUAGUGGCGCAGCUAACGCAUUAAGUCGACCGCCUGGGGAGUACGGCCGCAAGGUUAAAACUCAAAUGAAUUGACGGGGGCCCGCACAAGCGGUG
This 932-nucleotide ribosomal RNA is filed under the name uncultured bacterium. RNAcentral describes it as "bacterial SSU rRNA". It matches the Rfam family "Bacterial small subunit ribosomal RNA", at positions 8 to 934 of the family's 1533-position model. The record is from RNAcentral.